This 332-nucleotide long non-coding RNA is filed under the name Carica papaya (papaya). Its description in RNAcentral is "long non-coding RNA (CPAP_LNC013855)". The record is from RNAcentral. Lineage: Eukaryota; Viridiplantae; Streptophyta; Magnoliopsida; Brassicales; Caricaceae.
UACUAGCCUACUAGUAUCCAUGGGGAUCCAUAGGGGUCCCGCUACCCGUGAACCCUUAACACUUGUAAUCAGAUUCCAGUGCCGUCCCCAUACCCCGUCCGGUAUGUGUGCCAAAACUAUAAACCUCAAUACCUCGUCCGGUAUGAGGGUGAAACGGGCCGUCCCCAUACCCCAUCUGGUAUGGGCGCCAAAACACAUAAGGUCUCCAUACCCCGUCCGGUAUGAGAGACCACAAUCCCGGUAGGGUUCCCUAUGGACCCGGUCCGUCCACCAUCUCCCAGGAUAUCUAGUCAGGCUGACCACAUUAUACAAUUAUCAAUUUACAUAACCUU